AUAAUAAUUAUUUAUUAAUUUUAUUAGUAUUUUAUUUAUUUUAUUAAAAAUAAUUUUAUAAAUUAUAUUUUUAGUAUUUUAUAAAAAACAAAUAAUUUUUAUGAUAGUUUAUUAGUAUUGUGAAAGAAAAUUGAAAUAAUUUGAAAAAUUUUUAUUUUUAAAGUAAAUUUAAUUUAUUGUACCUUGUGUAUCAGGGUUUAUCAAAUAUAUAAUAAAUUUUUAUUAAUCUCGAAUUUAAAAGAGUUAUUAAAUUAUAAAAGUUAAUGUAUUAAAAUUAUUUUUAAUAAUUUAAUAGAAAUGAAAAGUUAUUCGUUUUUAAAUUUAUCUAGUUUUUUAAGAAAUGAAUUUAAUUCAUAAUUUUAGUUGUAUUUUAUUAAUUUAUUAAUAAAAUAUAAAUAAAAUUUAAUAUUUUAUGGGAUAAGCUGUAAAAUAAAUUUUUAAAAAUUAAUUUUAUAUUAUAUAAAUAUAUGUUUAGAAUUAGCAAUUAUUAAUAAUUUUGUUAUAAAUUAUUUAUAAAAAUAUAUGAUUUAUUAUAUUUUAAGUUUUUAUUAAAAUUUUUAUUUUAAUUUUUAAAAUAAAGUAAUAAUGAUAAAAUUAGUAUAUUAUUUUGUAAAAAUAAUUUUUAUUGAAAAGUGUAUAUAAAGAAUUCGGCAAAAUUAAUGUUCGCCUGUUUAACAAAAACAUGUCUUUUUGAAUUAAAUAAAAAGUCUGACCUGCCCAUUGAUAUUUAUUUAACGGCCGCAGUAUAUUAACUGUGCAAAGGUAGCAUAAUCAUUAGUCUUUUAAUUGAAGGCUGGAAUGAAUGGUUGGACGAAAUAUUAACUGUUUCAUAUAUAAUUAUAGUAGAAUUUAAUUUUUUAGUUAAAAAGCUAAAAUAUUGUUAAAAGACGAGAAGACCCUAUAAAUCUUUAUAUUAAUUAAUUUAUUUAAUUUUAUAGAAUUAUUUUAUUAUUAAAUUAUUUAAUAUUUUAUUGGGGUGAUAGUAAAAUUUAUUAAACUUUUAUUUUAUUUAAACAUUGAUUUAUGAAUUUUUGAUCCAUUUUUAAUGAUUAAAAAAUUAAGUUACUUUAGGGAUAACAGCGUAAUAUUUUUGGAGAGUUCUUAUUGAUAAAAAUGAUUGCGACCUCGAUGUUGGAUUAAGAUAUAAUUUUAGGUGCAGCCGCUUAAAUUUAAAGUCUGUUCGACUUUUAAAUUCUUACAUGAUCUGAGUUCAAACCGGUGUGAGCCAGGUUGGUUUCUAUCUUUAAUAAAUUAAAAUAUUUUAGUACGAAAGGAUUAAAUAUUUGAAUUUUUAAAUUUUUUAUAUUGAAUAUAAUUAAUA
RNAcentral lists this ribosomal RNA (1321 nucleotides) under Apotropina sp. RNAcentral's name for it is "16S ribosomal RNA". The record is from RNAcentral. Lineage: Eukaryota; Metazoa; Arthropoda; Insecta; Diptera; Chloropidae.